This 253-nucleotide ribosomal RNA is filed under the name uncultured bacterium. RNAcentral describes it as "partial 16S ribosomal RNA". It matches the Rfam family "Bacterial small subunit ribosomal RNA", at positions 524 to 776 of the family's 1533-position model. The record is from RNAcentral.
UACGUAGGGGGCAAGCGUUGUCCGGAUUUAUUGGGCGUAAAGAGCUCGUAGGCGGUUUGUUGCGUCGGCUGUGAAAUCCCGAGGCUCAACCUCGGGUCUGCAGUCGAUACGAGCAAACUAGAGUGUUGCAGGGGAGACUGGAAUUCCUGGUGUAGCGGUGAAAUGCGCAGAUAUCAGGAGGAACACCGACGGCGUAGGCAGCGCCCUGGCCGUUUCCUGACGCUGAUGCACGAAAGCUAGGGGAGCAAACAGG